UGGGGAAUCUUGGACAAUGGGGGCAACCCUGAUCCAGCCAUGCCGCGUGAGUGAUGAAGGCCUUAGGGUCGUAAAGCUCUUUCGCCUGUGAAGAUAAUGACGGUAGCAGGUAAAGAAACCCCGGCUAACUCCGUGCCAGCAGCCGCGGUAAUACGGAGGGGGUUAGCGUUGUUCGGAAUUACUGGGCGUAAAGCGCACGUAGGCGGACCAGAAAGUUGGGGGUGAAAUCCCGGGGGCUCAACCCCGGAACUGCCUCCAAAACUAUUGGUCUAGAGUUCGAGAGAGGUGAGUGGAAUUCCAAGUGUAGAGGUGAAAUUCGUAGAUAUUUGGAGGAACACCAGUGGCGAAGGCGGCUCACUGGCUCGAUACUGACGCUGAGGUGCGAAAAGUGUGGGGAGCAAACAGGAUUAGAUACCCUGGUAGUCCACACCGUAAAACGAUGAAUGCCAGUCGUCGGGGUAGCAUGCUAUUCGGUGACACACCUAACGGAUUAAGCAUUCCGCCUGGGGAGUACGGUCGCAAGAUUAAAACUCAAAUGAAUUG
RNAcentral lists this ribosomal RNA (543 nucleotides) under uncultured bacterium. RNAcentral describes it as "bacterial SSU rRNA". It matches the Rfam family "Bacterial small subunit ribosomal RNA", at positions 355 to 912 of the family's 1533-position model. The record is from RNAcentral.